This 253-nucleotide ribosomal RNA is filed under the name uncultured bacterium. RNAcentral describes it as "partial 16S ribosomal RNA". It matches the Rfam family "Bacterial small subunit ribosomal RNA", at positions 524 to 776 of the family's 1533-position model. The record is from RNAcentral.
UACAGAGGGUGCGAGCGUUGUCCGGAAUCAUUGGGCGUAAAGGGCGCGUAGGCGGGUUUGUAGGUCGAUUGUGAAAUCCCUGGGCUUAACCCGGGAAUUGCAGUCGAAACUGCAAGUCUUGAGUUCUCGAGAGGAUGGUGGAAUUCCUGGAGUAGUAGUGAAAUACGUAGAUAUCAGGAGGAACACCGGAGGCGAAGGCGGCCAUCUGGCGAGACACUGACGCUAAGGCGCGAAAGCGUGGGUAGCAAACAGG